Molecule: ribosomal RNA, 469 nt
Filed under: uncultured Rhodoferax sp.
Lineage: Bacteria; Pseudomonadati; Pseudomonadota; Betaproteobacteria; Burkholderiales; Comamonadaceae
Description: bacterial SSU rRNA
Rfam family: Bacterial small subunit ribosomal RNA
Source: RNAcentral
AGACGGGACCCGCACAAGCGGUGGAUGAUGUGGUUUAAUUCGAUGCAACGCGAAAACCUUACCCACCUUUGACAUGUACGGAAUCCUUUAGAGAUAGAGGAGUGCUCGAAAGAGAGCCGUAACACAGGUGCUGCAUGGCUGUCGUCAGCUCGUGUCGUGAGAUGUUGGGUUAAGUCCCGCAACGAGCGCAACCCUUGUCAUUAGUUGCUACAUUCAGUUGGGCACUCUAAUGAGACUGCCGGUGACAAACCGGAGGAAGGUGGGGAUGACGUCAAGUCCUCAUGGCCUUUAUGACCAGGGCUACACACGUACUACAAUGGCCGGUACAAAGGGCAGCGACACAGCGAUGUGAAGCGAAUCCCGAAAAGCCGGUCUCAGUCCGGAUUGGAGUCUGCAACUCGACUCCAUGAAGUUGGAAUCGCUAGUAAUCGCGGAUCAGCACGCCGCGGUGAAUACGUUCCCGGGCCUU